GACGAACGCUGGCGGCGUGCUUAACACAUGCAAGUCGAACGGAAAGGCCCUGCUUUUGUGGGGUGCUCGAGUGGCGAACGGGUGAGUAACACGUGAGUAACCUGCCCUUGACUUUGGGAUAACUUCAGGAAACUGGGGCUAAUACCGGAUAGGAGCUCCUGCUGCAUGGUGGGGGUUGGAAAGUUUCGGCGGUUGGGGAUGGACUCGUGGCUUAUGAGCUUGUUGGUGGGGUAGUGGCUUACCAAGGCUUUGACGGGUAGCCGGCCUGAGAGGGGGACCGGCCACAAUGGGACUGAGAUACGGCCCAGACUCCUACGGGAGGCAGCAGUGGGGAAUAUUGCACAAUGGGCGGAAGCCUGAUGCAGCAACGCCGCGUGCGGGAUGACGGCCUUCGGGUUGUAAACCGCUUUCGCCUGUGACGAAGCGUGAGUGUCGGUAAUGGGUAAAGAAGCACCGGCUAACUACGUG
This 468-nucleotide ribosomal RNA is filed under the name uncultured bacterium. Its description in RNAcentral is "partial 16S ribosomal RNA". It matches the Rfam family "Bacterial small subunit ribosomal RNA", at positions 28 to 507 of the family's 1533-position model. The record is from RNAcentral.